Non-coding RNA from Sesamum indicum (sesame), 566 nucleotides. The record is from RefSeq and is a predicted model, not a curated record. NCBI's taxonomy places the organism in Eukaryota, Viridiplantae, Streptophyta, Magnoliopsida, Lamiales, Pedaliaceae.
CUCAUUAUCCCAUUCUGCACAACUCUUAGAAACCACAAAAAUCACAAAAAAAAGAAAAAAUCACAGAAUGAAAAACACAAAAACAACUAAAGAAUUCUCCUAUAAAUACCCCAUUCUGCAGAACUCUGAGAAACCACAGAGACAUUUACUCAAUCAAAGAUUACUACAAGAGCAAAGGAGGAGGGAAAGCUAAGGAUGGCGUCAAUUUGUGAAGGUAAGAGCGAAUGGCCUGAGCUAGUCGGGACGUGUGGAGAAGUAGCAGCGAAAACCAUCGAGAAGGAGAACUCCCUCGUUUCUGCCCUCAUUGUUAGACCAUUCGAACCAGUCGCUCUUAUUUUCAGUUGUGCCCGAGUAGUUGUUGCCGUCGAUGAGAAAGGCAUUGUUAUACGUGUGCCUACGAUUGGUUAAACUAAGCGGAUGGAGACGAUUCUUCGUUACUUCACUUGCCUUGUAGUUGGCUUGUAAUAUGAUUAAAAUAAAUAAGUCGUUCGAGGGUCGUCUUGUUGUUCUAAUUUGAUUUACUGUUUAAUAUGUUUAUCAAUAAUAUGCGAGCUUUCUGUUUAUCA